RNAcentral lists this ribosomal RNA (433 nucleotides) under uncultured bacterium. Its description in RNAcentral is "partial 16S ribosomal RNA". It matches the Rfam family "Bacterial small subunit ribosomal RNA", at positions 29 to 507 of the family's 1533-position model. The record is from RNAcentral.
AACGAACGCUGGCGGCAUGCCUAACACAUGCAAGUCGAACGAUACCUUCGUGUCUAGUUGCGCACGGGUGCGUAACGCGUGGGAACCUGCCCUUAGGUUCGGAAUAACUCCCCGAAAGGGGUGCUAAUACCAGAGAAUGUCUUCGGACCAAAGAUUUACCGCCUUUGGAUGGGCCCGCGUUGGAUUAGCUAGUUGGUAGGGUAAAAGCCUACCAAGGCGACGAUCCAUAGCUGGUCUGAGAGGAUGAUCAGCCACACUGGGACUGAGACACGGCCCAGACUCCUACGGGAGGCAGCAGUGGGGAAUAUUGGACAAUGGGCGAAAGGCUGAUACAGCAAUGCCGCGUGAGUGAUGAAGGCGUUAGGGUUGUAAAGCUCUUUUACCCGGGAUGAUAAUGACAGUACCGGGAGAAUAAGCUCCGGCUAACUCCGUG